RNAcentral lists this long non-coding RNA (319 nucleotides) under Callithrix jacchus (white-tufted-ear marmoset). RNAcentral's name for it is "lncRNA (ENSCJAG00000085997.1)". The record is from RNAcentral. Lineage: Eukaryota; Metazoa; Chordata; Mammalia; Primates; Cebidae.
GAAAGGGCAAGACUCUAUUGAAACAAAUGAAAAGCCUCCAGAAUCACAAGAAAAUAAAUUUCUAUUGUUAUAAGGCACCUAGUUGGUGAUACUUUCCUACAGCAGCCCAAAGAAACCAAUACACUAACUAACCAAGAUGACUGUGGAAACCUAUGAAGCUGGCAAUAAUGCAUUUGCUUUUGGAAUCUACAUCAUAAAAUCUUUGCCCAGUCCCAUGUCCAGAACGGUAUUGCCUAGGUUUCCAGGGUUUUGAUAGCUUAUGUUUUACAGGUAAGUUUUUAAUCUACCCUGAGAUGUUUUUUUGUAUAUGGUAUAGGAA